UGUACGCGCAGUAAUGUGUUUAGCUGACCAAUACUAAUCGAACGAAAUUUUAAUC
This 55-nucleotide ribosomal RNA is filed under the name Fusobacterium necrophorum subsp. funduliforme. Its description in RNAcentral is "partial 23S ribosomal RNA". Lineage: Bacteria; Fusobacteriati; Fusobacteriota; Fusobacteriia; Fusobacteriales; Fusobacteriaceae. The record is from RNAcentral.